RNAcentral lists this ribosomal RNA (378 nucleotides) under Triticum aestivum (bread wheat). Its description in RNAcentral is "partial small subunit ribosomal RNA". Lineage: Eukaryota; Viridiplantae; Streptophyta; Magnoliopsida; Poales; Poaceae. The record is from RNAcentral.
CUUAAACGAACUAAGGACCUGGCCGUUAUCCUUAAGUUAGACUUCGAGAAAGCAUACGACCGUGUUAACUGGAACUUCUUGCAUCAGGUCCUCCUUAGUAGAGGUUUCUCGGCCGUGUGGGUACACAGAGUCAUGCAACUGGUCACGGGUGGCCAGACUGCGAUCUCGGUGAACGGGGAGAUAGGGAGUUUCUUCCGGAACAAGCUGGGACUGCGUCAGGGUGACCCCAUGUCACCGCUCCUAUUCAAUUUUGUGGUCGACGCCCUUGCGGCAAUGCUUAGGAGGGCGACCACGGCUGGCCACAUCAAGGGAGUGGUUGGCCACCUUUUCCCGGGGGGAUCUCGCACUUGCAGUACGCAUGAAGGAAAUAUGCCCUAG